UCGGGAAUUUUGGGCAAUGGGCGAAAGCCUGACCCAGCAACGCCGCGUGAAGGAUGAAGUAUUUCGGUAUGUAAACUUCGUAAGAAUAGGAAGAAUAAAUGACGGUACUAUUUGUAAGGUCCGGCUAACUACGUGCCAGCAGCCGCGGUAAUACGUAGGGACCAAGCGUUGUUCGGAUUUACUGGGCGUAAAGGGCGCGUAGGCGGUGUGGUCAAGUCAGUUGUGAAAUCUCCGAGCUUAACUCGGAACGGUCAACUGAUACUGUCACACUAGAGUACAGAAGGGGCAAUCGGAAUUCUUGGUGUAGCGGUGAAAUGCGUAGAUAUCAAGAGGAACACCUGAGGUGAAGACGGGUUGCUGGGCUGACACUGACGCUGAGGCGCGAAAGCC
Molecule: ribosomal RNA, 390 nt
Filed under: uncultured bacterium
Lineage: Bacteria
Description: bacterial SSU rRNA
Rfam family: Bacterial small subunit ribosomal RNA
Source: RNAcentral